RNAcentral lists this ribosomal RNA (252 nucleotides) under uncultured bacterium. RNAcentral's name for it is "partial 16S ribosomal RNA". It matches the Rfam family "Bacterial small subunit ribosomal RNA", at positions 524 to 774 of the family's 1533-position model. The record is from RNAcentral.
UACGGGGGGGGGCAAGCGUUGUUCGGAAUUACUGGGCGUAAAGGGCUCGUAGGUGGCCAACUAAGUCAGACGUGAAAUCCCUCGGCUUAACCGGGGAACUGCGUCUGAUACUGGAUGGCUUGAGUUUGGGAGAGGGACGCGGAAUUCCAGGUGUAGCGGUGAAAUGCGUAGAUAUCUGGAGGAACACCGGUGGCGAAGGCGGCGUCCUGGACCAACACUGACACUGAGGAGCGAAAGCCAGGGGAGGACAAA